RNAcentral lists this ribosomal RNA (512 nucleotides) under uncultured delta proteobacterium. Its description in RNAcentral is "bacterial SSU rRNA". It matches the Rfam family "Bacterial small subunit ribosomal RNA", at positions 31 to 523 of the family's 1533-position model. Lineage: Bacteria; Deltaproteobacteria. The record is from RNAcentral.
GAACGUUAGCGGCGCGCUUAACACAUGCAAGUCGCACGAGAAAGGGUCUUCGGACCCCGGUAAAGUGGCGCACGGGUGAGUAACACGUGGAUAACCUACCUCCGAGUGGGGGAUAACGUUCCGAAAGGAGCGCUAAUACCGCAUGAGACCACGUCCUGUAACGGAUGAGGUCAAAGCGGGCCUCUGCAUGCAAGCUCGCGCUUGGAGAUGGGUCCGCGGCCCAUCAGCUAGUUGGCGGGGUAAUGGCCCACCAAGGCAAAGACGGGUAGCUGGUCUGAGAGGAUGAUCAGCCACACUGGAACUGAGACACGGUCCAGACUCCUACGGGAGGCAGCAGUGGGGAAUCUUGCGCAAUGGGCGAAAGCCUGACGCAGCGACGCCGCGUGAGUGAUGAAGGCCCUAGGGUUGUAAAGCUCUGUGGAGAGGGACGAAUAAGUCGUAGCUAAUACCUCCGGCGAUGACGGUACCUCUUUAGCAAGCACCGGCUAACUCUGUGCCAGCAGCCGCGGUAA